GUUGUGUAAGCGCAGCGAUGCGUUGAGCUAACCGGUACUAAUGAACCGUGAGGCUUAACCUUACAACGCCGAAG
RNAcentral lists this ribosomal RNA (74 nucleotides) under Salmonella enterica subsp. enterica serovar Dublin. RNAcentral's name for it is "partial 23S ribosomal RNA". The record is from RNAcentral. Lineage: Bacteria; Pseudomonadati; Pseudomonadota; Gammaproteobacteria; Enterobacterales; Enterobacteriaceae.